RNAcentral lists this ribosomal RNA (406 nucleotides) under uncultured bacterium. Its description in RNAcentral is "partial 16S ribosomal RNA". It matches the Rfam family "Bacterial small subunit ribosomal RNA", at positions 30 to 526 of the family's 1533-position model. The record is from RNAcentral.
AUUGAACGCUGGCGGCAGGCCUAACACAUGCAAGUCGAACGAGUGGCGGACGGGUGAGUAAUGUAUGGGCAACUGCCUGAUGGAGGGGGAUAACUACUGGAAACGGUAGCUAAUACCGCCUACCAUCAGCUGUGUCCAGAUGGGAUUAGGUAGUAGGUGGGGUAAUGGCUCACCUAGGCGAAGAUCCCUAGCUGGGCUGAGAGGCUGACCAGCCAAACUGGAACUGAGACACGGUCCAGACUCCUACGGGAGGCAGCAGUGGGGAAUAUUGCACAAUGGGCGCAGGCCUGAUGCAGCCAUGCCGCGUGUGUGAAGAAGGCCUUCGGGUUGUAAAGCACUUUCAGCGGGGAGGCGUUACUCGCAGAAGAAGCACCGGCUAACUCCGUGCCAGCAGCCGCGGUAAUUC